GACGAACGCUGGCGGUGUGCUUAACACAUGCAAGUCGAGCGGUAAGGCCUUUCGGGGUACCCGAGCGGCGAACGGGUGAGUAACACGUGGGUGAUCUGCCCUGCACUUCGGGAUAAGCCUGGGAAACUGGGUCUAAUACCGGAUAUGACCUCCUAUCGCAUGGUGGGUGGUGGAAAGAUUUAUCGGUGCAGGAUGGGCCCGCGGCCUAUCAGCUUGUUGGUGGGGUAAUGGCCUACCAGGGCGACGACGGGUAGCCGACCUGAGAGGGUGACCGGCCACACUGGGACUGAGACACGGCCCAGACUCCUACGGGAGGCAGCAGUGGGGAAUAUUGCACAAUGGGCGAAAGCCUGAUGCAGCGACGCCGCGUGAGGGAUGACGGCCUUCGGGUUGUAAACCUCUUUCAGCAGGGACGAAGCGCAAGUGACGGUACCUGCAGAAGAAGCACCGGCUAACUACGUG
This 462-nucleotide ribosomal RNA is filed under the name uncultured bacterium. RNAcentral describes it as "partial 16S ribosomal RNA". It matches the Rfam family "Bacterial small subunit ribosomal RNA", at positions 28 to 507 of the family's 1533-position model. The record is from RNAcentral.